This 312-nucleotide ribosomal RNA is filed under the name uncultured Glomeromycotina. RNAcentral's name for it is "SSU rRNA". It matches the Rfam family "Eukaryotic small subunit ribosomal RNA", at positions 569 to 886 of the family's 1831-position model. The record is from RNAcentral. Lineage: Eukaryota; Fungi; Glomeromycota.
AGCAGCCGCGGUAAUUCCAGCUCCAAUAGCGUAUAUUAAAGUUGUUGCAGUUAAAAAGCUCGUAGUUGAAUUUCGGGAUUAGUAUGUCGGUCGUGCUUCGGUACGUACUGUCAUUACUGGUUUCUCCCUUCUGAAGAACCAUGAUGUCAUUAAUUUGGUGUCUUGGGAAAUCAGGACUGUUACUUUGAAAAAAUUAGAGUGUUUAAAGCAGGCAUACGCUUGAAUACAUUAGCAUGGAAUAAUGAAAUAGGACGUUUGAUUCUAUUUUGUUGGUUUCUAGGAUCGACGUAAUGAUUAAUAGGGAUAGUUGGG